UCCUUCUUAGCUCAGUUGGUAGAGCGCGUCACUAGUACUGUUCCCUCCCGUCGAUUUGACCCACGGACUGUGAUGACGAGGUCAGUCGUUCAAGUCGGCUAGAAGGAA
Molecule: transfer RNA, 108 nt
Filed under: Ephemerocybe angulata
Lineage: Eukaryota; Fungi; Basidiomycota; Agaricomycetes; Agaricales; Psathyrellaceae
Description: Coprinellus angulatus tRNA-Thr
Rfam family: tRNA
About the family: Transfer RNA (tRNA) molecules are approximately 80 nucleotides in length. Their secondary structure includes four short double-helical elements and three loops (D, anti-codon, and T loops).
Source: RNAcentral